Molecule: non-coding RNA, 45 nt
Organism: Schistosoma mansoni
Lineage: Eukaryota; Metazoa; Platyhelminthes; Trematoda; Strigeidida; Schistosomatidae
Source: Rfam
AUCCGGCCGACGAGUCCUAAAUGGGACGAAACGCGCGUCCUGAAU